UAGGCAUACAGGAAAAAGAACUGCUCGCGGAAGAAACUGUGGCACCUUUUAUAGAUGGCUGCUUGCGGCUUGUGUCCAGUGACAGCUCGUUGAAUUUCCCACCGCCGGGGAAUCCUCCAAUCACGCAAGGACAUUUUGUCACAUUAGAAUGGAGUCAUUUGGUCCUGGAUUCUCUCUCAACCACAAGUGCUCCAGACAGUUGCUUCUCAUAAAGAGAUUUCAAGAUAGUGGUCUCCAGUGUCUCUUUAAAGCUCUGGAAGAUGACAGAAUAGCUAUCUCAAUCAAACCACCAUUGGCACCUUUAAAAGGACAGUGUUUGAAUACUUCCUUUUCUAAUCACUUUAGGAAAUUUAAAGGGAUAUACAGUACAAACCACAAACCAAAAGAGUGACCUGGAAAAUGUUCUUAUAUUAACAAGAGAUUCAUUCAAGUUUUGAAGAAUUUUGUGAGAAAAAAACGAAAAGAAACCAAGAUUUUAAGACAUUAUUUGAAAGGGUUAAAGAUCAAGAUUGUUAAAAGUAAAAUGAAGGACUAUAAAGUUGAUUUAUUUGAUCAAGGUUAAAAUGGAUAAUCCUUAAUGGACUUUUGCUGAUCAGAACUGAAGUAACAAGGGGAUUUUUUUUUAUAGAUAAGACAUGACAUAUGGGAAGAAGAGAUAUUUUGUUGUAUAUUAAAAAAUGAUAAGUUACUAAAAUUGCUUAUACUUGUGAUGAAGAGAGAAUUAUUUGUAUCAUUUCUUUCUUUACUAUUUUCUUAUUUUUUCUUCCUUUGCUUAUUUUUUCUAUUUUCUUUUUCU
Molecule: long non-coding RNA, 796 nt
Filed under: Naja naja (Indian cobra)
Lineage: Eukaryota; Metazoa; Chordata; Lepidosauria; Squamata; Elapidae
Description: lncRNA (ENSNNAG00000010024.1)
Source: RNAcentral